This 221-nucleotide unclassified non-coding RNA is filed under the name Hevea brasiliensis (rubber tree). Lineage: Eukaryota; Viridiplantae; Streptophyta; Magnoliopsida; Malpighiales; Euphorbiaceae. The record is from RNAcentral.
GAAAUGAACUAUACAUCUGAAGAUAAGCCUUGUCCCCGUGGUGAGAUUUGUGUAAGAGGCCCCAUAGUGUUCCAGGGAUACUACAAGGAUGAAGUACAGACGCGAGAAAUGAUUGACAAAGAUGGAUGGCUUCACACCGGAGAUAUUGGAGUGUGGCUACCUGGGGGGCGCUUAAAGAUAAUUGAUAGGAAGAAAAAUAUUUUCAAGUUGGCACAGGGAGA